RNAcentral lists this ribosomal RNA (497 nucleotides) under uncultured bacterium. RNAcentral describes it as "partial 16S ribosomal RNA". It matches the Rfam family "Bacterial small subunit ribosomal RNA", at positions 28 to 507 of the family's 1533-position model. The record is from RNAcentral.
GAUGAACGCUGGCGGCGUGCCUAAUACAUGCAAGUCGAGCGAACAGACGAGGAGCUUGCUCCUCUGACGUUAGCGGCGGACGGGUGAGUAACACGUGUAUAACCUACCUAUAAGACUGGUAUAACUUCGGGAAACCGGAGCUAAUACCGGAUAAUAUAUUGAACCGCAUGGUUCAAUAGUGAAAUACGGUGUUUCUGUCACGUAUAGAUGGAUCCGCGCCGCAUUAGCUAGUUGUUCAGGUAACGGGUUACCAAGGCAACGAUGCGUAGCCGACGGGAGAGGGUGGUCGGCCACACUGGAACUGAGACACGGUCCAGACUCCUACGGGAGGCAGCAGUAGGGAAUCUUCCGCAAUGGGCGAAAGCAUGACGGAGCAACGCGGAGUGAGUGAUGAAGGUCUUCGGAUCGUAAAACCCUGUUAUUAGGGAAGAACAAAUGUGUCAGUAACUAUGCACGUCUUGACGGUACCUAAUCAGAAAGCCACGGCUAACUACGUG